ACAUUCGUGGAGACAGAAGAGUCUUGGACCAUGUGCGCAACUGGAGCGUAGGAGUGUGCACUCGUCUUCUCGGAAAGGAAGGCUGGAAAUAACCCUGACAGUGUUAGGCUUGGUGGCGAUCAGGGACAGAUGACUCUUACCGGUAGCCGUUUGCCCAAAUGCUUCUGCCCUUUGGAAGAGUCUUUGUGGCAGUAAUCACUUUUUCUAAGUAUGUCGGAGUGGUUGAGCAGAGAGAAAAAUGAAUACCCUAAGCGAACUAGAAAUCUGGAAAGAACCGAAAUAGAGGCAGUGUCUCAUGACACUUUACUUGAGGACUCACCUGCUGAACUGCUGAUCACUUCUAUAGAUUCCUUCAGCUAACCAGAACUGACUUCAUCAGAGAGUUAUGAUGGAUAAGUCUAUCAGUCUUCUACCUGAAUGCCCCAAGAUAUUGAUGAAGUCAACAAAACAUUGAGCCUCAGAACACAAGAAAUCUUGGACAAACUGGGAGACAGCUUGUCAGUAUCUAAGGUAUUUAUUUAUUCAAAGAAAUGUACAUAAUCUACAGGCAUAAUGUUCCCACAGUAUUAAAUAUUAUAAUAAACUGAAGGUUUC
This 594-nucleotide long non-coding RNA is filed under the name Mus spicilegus (steppe mouse). RNAcentral's name for it is "lncRNA (ENSMSIG00000000786.1)". The record is from RNAcentral. Lineage: Eukaryota; Metazoa; Chordata; Mammalia; Rodentia; Muridae.